CCCGGUUACAUUCCGAACCCGGAAGCUAAGCCUUUCAGCGCCGAUGGUACUGCAUGGGGGACCGUGUGGGAGAGUAGGACGCCGCCGAAC
RNAcentral lists this ribosomal RNA (90 nucleotides) under Streptomyces mobaraensis. The record is from RNAcentral. Lineage: Bacteria; Bacillati; Actinomycetota; Actinomycetes; Kitasatosporales; Streptomycetaceae. RNAcentral also lists the same sequence under 1 other name.